RNAcentral lists this ribosomal RNA (510 nucleotides) under uncultured bacterium. RNAcentral describes it as "bacterial SSU rRNA". It matches the Rfam family "Bacterial small subunit ribosomal RNA", at positions 28 to 533 of the family's 1533-position model. The record is from RNAcentral.
GACGAACGCUGGCGGCGUGCCUAACACAUGCAAGUCGAGCGGGGUUGAAGCGAGGGGUAACUCGAGUUUCUACCUAGCGGCGGACGGGUGAGUAACGCGUGGGCAACCUGCCUCAAGGACUGGGAUAACAGCUCGAAAGGGCUGCUAAUACCGGAUAAGCCUAUGGCCUCGCAUGGGGCCAUGAGCAAAGGGGAAACCCGCCUUGAGAUGGGCCCGCGUCCCAUCAGCUAGUUGGUGAGGUGAAGGCUCACCAAGGCGACGACGGGUAGCCGGCCUGAGAGGGUGACCGGCCACACUGGGACUGAGACACGGCCCAGACUCCUACGGGGGCAGCAGUGGGGAAUCUUGCACAAUGGGCGAAAGCCUGAUGCAGCGACGCCGCGUGAGCGAAGAAGGCCCUUGGUUGUAAGCUCUGUCUGGAGGGACGAAGGAAGUGACGGUAACCGUCCGGAGGAAGCCACGGCUAACGUAACGUGCCCGAGGCAGCCGCCGGUAAAAAGUCAACGUGUA